This 380-nucleotide ribosomal RNA is filed under the name uncultured eukaryote. RNAcentral's name for it is "partial 18S ribosomal RNA". It matches the Rfam family "Eukaryotic small subunit ribosomal RNA", at positions 592 to 976 of the family's 1831-position model. The record is from RNAcentral.
CAAUAGCGUAUAUUAAAGUUGUUGCGGUUAAAAAGCUCGUAGUUGGAGUUCUGCCAGGUGACACUCGUCCGCCCAAGUGGUGUGUACAGGGUGUGCAUCUGGCCCUUUCAAGGGGAACGUGUCUGCACUUCAUUGUGUGGUGCGAGAUCCUUGACUUUUACUUUGAGGAAAUAAGAGUGUUCCAAGCAGGCUCUCGUCGUGCAUAGCUCAGCAUGGAAUAAUAGCAUUGGACUUCGUUUCUACGCUGUUGGUUGCAAGAAGCGAGGUAAUGAUGAAGAGGGAUAGUUGGGGGCAUUCGUAUUUAACUGUCAGAGGUGAAAUUCUCGGAUUUGUUAAAGACGGACUACUGCGAAAGCAUCUGCCAUGGAUGUUUUCAUUGA